CAACAACUUCCGCCGAACUCUGAACUCGAACGCUAUUGGUCAACAGAGACGCGCUGAUGCAGAUGCAGCGGAAACAGUCAGACUGCAUAGCAGGUGGACUCACCUGUUUGGAAGAAUCCAUGUGAACUUGCAGGCCUCUGGAGAACUGUGACUGUUUGGAGCAGAGACACGUAAAAUGGCAGGACAGGAGCUGGACAUCCAUGGCUUUUUACAUUUGUGCAGAGGACAAAUGACUUGAAAAUUUUCCAGCAGAAACAUCUCCACAUGGAGGGACGGCAUCCUCGAUGGUUCCAAUUUCCAGCCCAUUCCCCAAUUUUCAACCCCAAUGACAGACAACACACACUGGAACGGCUGUUCAGCCGGGGAAGGGACUCGUUUCACUUCCUGCGCUACCCAAAAGAAGGGACACAGACCGGCGAUGCAGAGCCUGCUCAGACAGAGGGGGGAAAGGAGAGACGGGAGAUAGAGGAAGAAAUACGAAACAAGAUGCAACCUGAUGGGGCUGCAGAAAAGCAAACAAAAUAGACGACAAGGAAGAAGAAAAAAAAACAAAACAAAAUAGUGGUUGAAAUCUCCAGCUUGAUCUAAGGUGCAGAGACGUGAAGGCACACAGGUCCUUUAUCCAGCUAAUAUAAGACGCAACAUGUGGUUUCACAAAGGAAAUGAAAGGAUUUCUGACCUGAAUUUCUUGUACCGGCUGAGUUGUUCUCAGGUAAACUGCGGCACAACGGACUGAACUCAAGUCACAAAUGCAAUAACACAUAACUCAAUCACUGCAGCGAUGUUAUCAAAAGACACAAUUUGGCAAUGCUGGUUUCCCCUAAAUCAAAUCAAACUGCAGGACUGAACAACUGAAUUAACAAUUGCCAAGAUGCACCUGAAUUCACACGAAGUGUUCUUUGUUUUCUUUUUUUUUUAAUCAGUUGUGCUGUAACUGUGCUUCCCUGGAAAUUGUCCACACUUUUUUUUUUUUUUUUUUGUUAAACAUCCAGAGUCAGGGAUUUAUAUACUGUUGUGACAAGAGGUUUAAAACUAAUGAUGUGCCAAGAAACCAUCUGGUGACCUGGUUCAUUCUGAGAAGCCAUGUCAGGUGUGCAGCUGGUUGGAAACUUUCAGUGAACACAACACACCGAAGUACCAACAGGAGGCACAAACGACAACAAUCUUUACUGUGGGCGUUGCCACUGAAAGAAGACUGAAAGUUCAGAAGACGCGUCAGCUGGUAAUUUCGGUGGCAUAUAAUGAUGCUUUCACAGAUAACAGGAAGGUUUAACAGAGAAAAAGUAAGUUUCUAUAUCUUUUUGAGCUUUUAACUUGUCUAACAAUCCUAAGCUUAUGGUAAGGAUCUGCGUUCUUUUGGGAAUACACUCAGAAAUGGUGGUGUUAAUGCUAACAUGUUAGCAUGGUAACAUAUUAGCAUGUUAGCAUGGUAGCAAAGAAAACAUAGGAUUUAAUGACUGAUUGGAAUGGCAACUGUGUCUAAUGAUGCACAGUCUUACCAUGUCUUAGACUGCUUUUUCAGAUGUGCUAUGUCUUAGUGAAUGUUUACUGACUUCUGCAUCUAUAAAUCUUAUAUAAAAAAUGUAGAUUUGUUGACGCGAUGUAGACAUUGUCAGUUCCUCAGAAGUUUCAAGUUGAGCUCUGCUACAACCCGUUUUGCCGAAAGGCUUCGCUUUAGCUUGAUACCACUCCUCUGUUCUCUGCUAUACCUUUUUCCAUAUUUUCCCAAAUGGUAUUUUUUUUUUUUUUUUUUUUGACAUGUUACUCUCUCUUUGCUAUUAAUGCUUAGCUUUAGGUCUACAGUACGGUGCUGGUAAUCUACAAAAAGUGUUCCCAGUGGGAUAUUCAUUUAUUUACUUUUCAGUGUUUAGUUGAGUAUUUGGUUCUGUGUUUAGAUGCAAUACUUUCGAUAGCUGACAAUUGCAUUACGUGCCCAACAACAGAAGGAUUUGUUUGCUUUUUCUAGAUAAGUCCCUCAAUAUAUUUUACCACAGCUUCC
This is a long non-coding RNA of Poecilia latipinna (sailfin molly), 1999 nucleotides long. RefSeq lists it as uncharacterized. Lineage: Eukaryota; Metazoa; Chordata; Actinopteri; Cyprinodontiformes; Poeciliidae. The record is from RefSeq and is a predicted model, not a curated record. The transcript has 5 exons.